UACGGGGGGAGCAAGCGUUGUUCGGAUUUACUGGGCGUAAAGGGCGCGUAGGCGGUCGUGACAAGUCACUUGUGAAAUCUCCGGGCUUAACUCGGAACGGUCAAGUGAUACUGUCGGACUAGAGUACAGAAGGGGCAACUGGAAUUCUCGGUGUAGCGGUGAAAUGCGUAGAUAUCGUGAGGAAGACCAGUGGCGAAGGCGAAUCUCUGGACAGAUCCUGACGCUGAGGCACGAAGGCUAGGGGAGCAAACGGG
Molecule: ribosomal RNA, 254 nt
Filed under: uncultured bacterium
Lineage: Bacteria
Description: partial 16S ribosomal RNA
Rfam family: Bacterial small subunit ribosomal RNA
Source: RNAcentral